This 461-nucleotide ribosomal RNA is filed under the name uncultured bacterium. Its description in RNAcentral is "partial 16S ribosomal RNA". It matches the Rfam family "Bacterial small subunit ribosomal RNA", at positions 338 to 795 of the family's 1533-position model. The record is from RNAcentral.
CCUACGGGUGGCAGCAGUGAGGAAUAUUGGUCAAUGGGCGAGAGCCUGAACCAGCCAAGUCGCGUGAAGGAUGACGGCCCUACGGGUUGUAAACUUCUUUUGUCAGGGAGCAAUUGAGUCCACGUGUGGUCUUAGCGAGAGUACCUGAAGAAAAAGCAUCGGCUAACUCCGUGCCAGCAGCCGCGGUAAUACGUAGGGGGCAAGCGUUAUCCGGAUUUACUGGGUGUAAAGGGGGCGCAGACGGCAAUGCAAGCCAGGAGUGAAAGCCCGGGGCCCAACCCCGGGACUGCUCUUGGAACUGCAUGGCUGGAGUACAGGAGGGGCAGGCGGAAUUCCUAGUGUAGCGGUGAAAUGCGUAGAUAUUAGGAGGAACACCGGUGGCGAAGGCGGCCUGCUGGACUGUGACUGACGUUGAGGCCCGAAGGCGUGGGGAGCAAACAGGAUUAGAUACCCCGGUAGUC